Molecule: non-coding RNA, 25 nt
Filed under: Cricetulus griseus (Chinese hamster)
Lineage: Eukaryota; Metazoa; Chordata; Mammalia; Rodentia; Cricetidae
Source: RNAcentral
GGUGAAGCAACAGGGGCUCCCCGCA